GCAGACGUUGAUGGAGGAUGAGCCAGAGAAAUACCAGUCGCAUUUCAGUGAGUACAUCAAGAAAGGAAUUGAGCCUGAUGGCAUUGAAGAGCUAUACAAGAAGGUCCACGCUGCCAUCAGAACGUCCACAGAUUGAAUGGUUCCCAACAAAACUUCUAAACUACUACAGCCUAUUUCCUUUAUUGCAGGAGUUACUGCACCUGUACGGAUUUGUCAUCGACAAUAAUCCAGAUGACUAUCUCAUGAGUACGAUGGCAAUUAAUAUAACUAAUCAACAUGCAGUUGGAUGAAAAAAUUAGCAAUCUAAUUAUAAUUUGGUACAGGUUCAUUAUCCAAUGGAAGCCUUUCAGAGUGUUCCAAUAGUUGAUUCCAAAGUGCAGCUUUUAGAAAUACAGAAGGCUGAAAUGAGGUGUCUCUUACCAAGAAGUCUGCUGGAUCAUGGAUCUUUUUCUGGAUCCCCUCUGCAUGAAGAAGACAGGAAUAAGAAAUCAAAUGGCCUAUUUUGCAAUGUCUUUUUUGUGCACCCUUAAAAUGACCAAAAACUGUUCUU
RNA transcript from Magnolia sinica, 550 nucleotides. RefSeq lists it as uncharacterized. The record is from RefSeq and is a predicted model, not a curated record. The transcript is spliced from 3 exons. NCBI's taxonomy places the organism in Eukaryota, Viridiplantae, Streptophyta, Magnoliopsida, Magnoliales, Magnoliaceae.